GUCUUUCUUUUGCCAUUUAAUUUUCGGAAUACAAAGAAUUUGGAAUUGAUUGAUAGUAUAAGUUGAAAUGAAGAUUCAAACAAAGAAGAAUGGAAAAAGAAAUGGGAGUUGAACCCGACGUGAAUCGAACACGCAACCUUCUGAUCUGGAGUCAGACGCGCUACCAUUGCGCCACGGAUCCACUUCAUGUGCAUUGAUUUCAAGUUAUUAAUCAGUAAAAUUUUGAUCGUUUCGGUAAAUUUAUAUUUCUUCGGUUCCCGCGUCUUUUGAUUUGAUGGUCGAAGCUCCAUCCCUGGGUAUGGAAUUCAAUAGGGUUUUGCUGGAUUUUCAAUUCCAAUCCAAGAUGCCGUUUCUAGACUUUAAUUUGCGCCCCAUUCGAAUAAUCUCCUAAUUUUUAUUCUUCGUUUGCACGAUGUUGAUAAGUCUACUCUAAGACUUGAAGUUUCAUCUGGAACUGCGAUGCUAGAUUGUUGCUUCCAGGAUGAAUCAUUAGCUUUCAACGCUGCUUCUGAUGGCUGCAUAAAAUUUUCUCAUUAAAUUGGACAGCAAGGAGAUAACGAUCUGCCAAAACAAUUCUCUACUAUAUUCAGAAUGUCUACGUCCAAUUAUUGUACUUUUGUUUGGGGCAAUCUUGUAACUUGGAGGAGUAAGAAGCAAAGUGUUGUGGUCAGGAGCAGUGCUGAGGCUGAAUACAGAGCUAUGAGUCUGGGAAUAUGUAAGGAAAUUUGGCUCCAGAAAGUCUUGUCAGAUCUUUAUCAGGAAUGUGAGACACUAUUGAAGCUUUUUUGUGAUAAUAAAGCCGCUAUUAGUAUUGCUAACAAUCCAGUUCAACAUUAUAGAACUAAACAUAUUGAGAUUGAUCGGCAUUUCAUCAAAGAAAGACUUGACAGUGGAAGCAUAUGCAUUCCGUACAUUCCUUCAAGCCAACAGAUUGCUGAUGUUCUUACCAAGGGGCUUCUCAGACCACACUUCGACCUUUGUGUUAGCAAGUUGGGACUCAUUGAUAUUUACGUCCCAACUUGAGGGGGAGUGUUAGAAUUAGUAGGGUUUUGGCCUAGAGUACUUUUGGAAAGAAUAAUAUAUAAGAUUUUAUUUCCUAAAUAUUUCUAAGAUCUUUUCCUUUUUUAUUCCUAUUGUACUCUAUUUAUUCUCCCUUUGUACCUAUUGUAUUCAGUUCAUAAGAAAAAUAAUAAAAGCUAAAGUAUCGUGAUUUUUCUCUCGGUUCUCGGGUUUUCACGUAAGUCUCGGGUUGUUAAUUGCUUUCAAUAGUUGGAGUCACCAACUUUCAUCCAGAGCCAAAUUCAAAAUCUUAGAAAAGAUUUUGCGUGUCAAAUGGUAGGAUAAGUACGACUACUCCCGCUUGAAUGAGGAACAAAUAGCAAAAUGGUUUAAAACCAACGCUCACCUCUCCCGAGAAGAAGAAGAUCAGUUUCUUCUCGCAAAGAAUUCAAUCAUGACGUCAAUUGCUGGAGCUAAGUCUGAAGCAGACCUCCAGGCAGUCAUGGAAACAGUCGUCAACAAUAAUUCUGAUGACAACAAACAAGAUGACCCUGAAGGCAUCAUUAAUCUCUCAGAUUCAUCUGGCAACGAUAUCGAUUUUGCAAAUGACCCUUAUUACAAUUUCGAUAUUUUUUAUCCCUAUUUGGAUUCCUAACCACGAUGAAGAAUAGGUUAUUACCAUUGUAAAUUAUUAUUAAAAAAAAAGUACAUAAAUAAAUUUGUCUUCCAUUUUCCAGUCUAACAAUGUAAUCAUCGAUUUGGGUGAUCUCCGAUUGAAGGGGAGGUGAUGGAGAUGACAGGUGACUGAAGCGACGUGACCAACCGCAGGCCAGCGCAGUUAGCGAGAAUUGUUUCCGGUCAGGAAUUCUUACCGCGACCAAUAGAAUCAACGAGAUAGAAUGCUUGGGCAAUUGAUGGCGGGGAAGCCGAAAGUAAGUCCCUGGAUGCAUCCUAUCCCAAAGAAUCAUCAGUAGUCGCAUGGUCAGAUCAAUCUAGGUCAUUCAGACAAAGUUGGGUGACGUCAUCUUCCUUAAAGAAGAAAUUACCAAAAGAGGCUUGAAGACAUUGGCAGACAUAUUUUUUCAGCUUUUCUUUAGUUUGCAUAACUAUAUUUUGUUUGUUUACCUUUUGCUUUUUCUAAGCAUCUUUUUAGAUUACAAGAAGAUAAGGAUAAGUGGGAGUCUUGUCCCACCCAAAUCUUAUCGUAAUCCUUUAUUUUUUCAAAAAGAAAGAUAAGAUGCCAGACACUCUUGUCGGCCAUUCUUUUUUUUCUACUUUUGUAAAUUAUUGUUGAUACGUUCAACAACCUGUAUGGAUAAAUGAUAUCUCGGUGGGAGAUGCAUUUAUCUAUAUAAGGGAACGUCCCUCAACCUUGAAUGGUAUCAUAACAAAUUUCAAAGAAGUUCAAUUUUAAAGAUCUCA
Cucumis melo (muskmelon) is the source of this 2421-nucleotide long non-coding RNA. RefSeq lists it as uncharacterized. The record is from RefSeq and is a predicted model, not a curated record. NCBI's taxonomy places the organism in Eukaryota, Viridiplantae, Streptophyta, Magnoliopsida, Cucurbitales, Cucurbitaceae. The transcript is spliced from 4 exons.